UCAUCACCUUGGAUCCCCUUAGCUUCAGAUCCAUACGCCUGACUCUCAUACCAUUACACUGUACAUGUUUGUGCUACCGUUGCUAGGAUACCAGGGUUCAUUUUGACUACGUAGUUAUUUAGGAUCUGACUCUAGUGAUGAUCACAGAUAGAUACUCAUUGUACUGUAUUUAUAUUUCAACCAGGAAGUCCUAUAGAGAUAAUAAUAUAUAUAUAUAUUUUCAAUGGCCUUUGAUGAGCUCAUCAAAUGUCAGUCUGUCUUUGAGAGGGAGGAGGACCUUAUGACCAAUGGAAGGAAGUGAGAUCACCAGGGUAGGAAGGAAGUGAGAUCACCAGGGUAUGAAGGAGGUGUACGUCUGAGACUGUACACAGAGCUAAAUCAAAUCAAAUCAAAUGUUAUUUGUCACAUGCGCCGAAUACAACAGGUGUAGUAGACCUUACAGUGAAAUGCUGCCUAAGAAGCCCUUAACCAACAAUGCAGUUUUAAGAAAGUACCUAAAAAAAUAGAUAAGAAUAACAAAUGAUUAAAGAGCAGCAGUAAGUAACAAUAGCGGGGCCUUAUACAGGGGGUACCGGUACAGAGUCAAUGUGGAGGUUAUAUACAGGGGGUACCGGUACAGAGUCAAUGUGGAGGUUAUAUACAGGGGGUACCGGUACAGAGUCAAUGUGGAGGCUAUAUACAGGGGGUACCGGUACAGAGUCAAUGUGGAGGCUAUAUACAGGGGGUACCGGUACAGAGUCAAUGUGGAGGUUAUAUACAGGGGUACCGGUACAGAGUCAAUGUGGAGGCUAUAUACAGGGGGUACCGGUACAGAGUCAAUGUGGAGGUUAUAUACAGGGGGUACCGGUACAGAGUCAAUGUGGAGGUUAUAUACAGGGGGUACCGGUACAGAGUCAAUGUGGAGGCUAUAUACAGGGGGUACCGGUACAGAGUCAAUGUGGAGGCUAUAUACAGGGGGUACCGGUACAGAGUCAAUGUGGAGGUUAUAUACAGGGGGUACCGGUACAGAGUCAAUGUGGAGGUUAUAUACAGGGGUACCGGUACAGAGUCAAUGUGGAGGCUAUAGACAGGGGGUACCGGUACAGAGUCAAUGUGGAGGCUAUAUACAGGGGGUACCGGUACAGAGUCAAUGUGGAGGCUAUAGACAGGGGUACCGGUACAGAGUCAAUGUGGAGGUUAUAUA
Oncorhynchus keta (chum salmon) is the source of this 1183-nucleotide long non-coding RNA. RefSeq lists it as uncharacterized. The record is from RefSeq and is a predicted model, not a curated record. Lineage: Eukaryota; Metazoa; Chordata; Actinopteri; Salmoniformes; Salmonidae. The transcript is spliced from 4 exons.